GCUACGGGAGGCGGCAGUGGGGAAUAUUGCACAAUGGGCGAAAGCCUGAUGCAGCAACGCCGCGUGAGUGAUGAAGGCCUUCGGGUUGUAAAGCUCUGUCUGCUGGGGACGAUAAUGACGGUACCAGAGGAGGAAGCCACGGCUAACUACGUGCCAGCAGCCGCGGUAAUACGU
RNAcentral lists this ribosomal RNA (174 nucleotides) under uncultured Clostridia bacterium. RNAcentral describes it as "partial 16S ribosomal RNA". It matches the Rfam family "Bacterial small subunit ribosomal RNA", at positions 338 to 528 of the family's 1533-position model. The record is from RNAcentral. Lineage: Bacteria; Bacillati; Bacillota; Clostridia.